CAGAGACACAGGCAGAGGGAGAAGCAGGCUCCAUGCACUGGGAGCCGGACGUGGGAUUCGAUCACGGGUCUCCAGGAUCGCGCCCUGGGCCAAAGGCAGGCACCAAACCGCUGCGCCACCCAGGAUCCCGCGUGUUAAUAGAGGUGUAGUGGAGAGACAAACACACUGGCUGUUAUCAUGGAAAGAGAUACAUUAAAGAAAGAGAUGCACAGAUGCACAAGAUGCCAUCUGACACGGCCGGGUGAGUGUACCUGUGAUGCAAGCACAGUGGACCAGCCCUCAGAGAGCACCAAGCUGUCAAAUGAAAGCGUG
Long non-coding RNA from Nyctereutes procyonoides (raccoon dog), 312 nucleotides. RefSeq lists it as uncharacterized. NCBI's taxonomy places the organism in Eukaryota, Metazoa, Chordata, Mammalia, Carnivora, Canidae. The transcript is spliced from 3 exons. The record is from RefSeq and is a predicted model, not a curated record.